AUAACCUCUUUAUUUUUUAUUUUCACAAUAACUCGGGAUGUAAUCCCAUGGAGAGGAAAAAGGGGUAUCUUGUAAAUUCAAGGGUAGGGCUUGCAUUCUGAUAAUACUGAAUCAAUUCAAUAUUAUGAAUAUCGGAUCUAUCAAAUCAAUUCAUGGAUGAGAGUUAUAUAGUGUAACAUAGGAAGAUCCUAUAUCCAUACUAAGACCAAAAUGGGUUUUUUGAUUGGAUUAGGAAUUCCCUCUUUUUUAAUCCUUUUUUUUCUACUUUUUCUUUUCUAUAUCUCUAACCCACGAGCUUUCUUAAUCUUAUACAAUUUCUCUUCCUUUUUC
This 330-nucleotide long non-coding RNA is filed under the name Hordeum vulgare. Its description in RNAcentral is "long non-coding RNA (HVUL_LNC021711)". The record is from RNAcentral. Lineage: Eukaryota; Viridiplantae; Streptophyta; Magnoliopsida; Poales; Poaceae.